UAAGUACAAAUAUAAUCAUAAAAGAAGUCAAGGCUUAUUUGCUAAUCAUCAGUAUCCAAAAGAAAACAAGGGGAGAUAAUAAGACCGAAAGAAAACAAGAGGAGAUAAUAAGACAAAGAAAAACAAGAGGAAAUAUAAGAUCAAAAAGAAAACAAGAGUAAGAAAUAAGACCAAAAGAAAACAAGAGGAGAUAAUAAGUCCAAAAGAACAAGAGGAGAUAAUAAGAAAAAAAGAAAACAAGAGGAGAUAAUAAAUCCAAAGAAAACAAGAGGAGAUAAUAAGACCGGAAAGAAAACAAGAGGAGAUAAUAAGACCAAAGAAAAAAAGAGGAGAUAAUAAGACCAAAAGAAAACAAGAGGAGAUAAAAAGACCAAAAGAAACAGAGGAAGUAAUAAGACAAAAGAAAACAAGAGAAUAAUAAGAUCAAAAGAAACAAGAGU
RNAcentral lists this long non-coding RNA (440 nucleotides) under Mytilus galloprovincialis (Mediterranean mussel). Lineage: Eukaryota; Metazoa; Mollusca; Bivalvia; Mytilida; Mytilidae. The record is from RNAcentral.